GAUGAACGCUGGCGGCGUGCCUAAUACAUGCAAGUCGAGCGAACAGACGAGGAGCUUGCUCCUCUGACGUUAGCGGCGGACGGGUGAGUAACACGUGGAUAACCUACCUAUAAGACUGGGAUAACUUCGGGAAACCGGAGCUAAUACCGGAUAAUAUAUUGAACCGCAUGGUUCAAUAGUGAAAGACGGUUUUGCUGUCACUUAUAGAUGGAUCCGCGCCGCAUUAGCUAGUUGGUAAGGUAACGGCUUACCAAGGCAACGAUGCGUAGCCGACCUGAGAGGGUGAUCGGCCACACUGGAACUGAGACACGGUCGAGACUCCUACGGGAGGCAGCAGUAGGGAAUCUUCCGAAAGGGGCGAAAGCCUGACGGAGCAACGCCGCGUGAGUGAUGAAGGUCUUCGGAUCGAAAAACUCUGUUAUUGGGGAAGAACAAAUGUGUAAGUAACUAUGCACGUCGUGAGGGUACCAAAUCAGAAAGCCAGGGCAAACCACG
Molecule: ribosomal RNA, 495 nt
Filed under: uncultured bacterium
Lineage: Bacteria
Description: partial 16S ribosomal RNA
Rfam family: Bacterial small subunit ribosomal RNA
Source: RNAcentral